UACAGAGGUCUCAAGCGUUGUUCGGAUUCAUUUGGGCGUAAAGGGUGCGUAGGUGGCGCCGUAAGUCAGGUGUGAAAUUUCGGAGCUUAACUCCGAAACUGCAUUUGAUACUGCGGUGCUUGAGGACUGGAGAGGAGACUGGAAUUUACGGUGUAGCAGUGAAAUGCGUAGAGAUCGUAAGGAAGACCAGUGGCGAAGGCGGGUCUCUGGACAGUUCCUGACACUGAGGCAGCGAAGGCCAGGGGAGCAAAACGGG
RNAcentral lists this ribosomal RNA (256 nucleotides) under uncultured bacterium. Its description in RNAcentral is "partial 16S ribosomal RNA". It matches the Rfam family "Bacterial small subunit ribosomal RNA", at positions 524 to 777 of the family's 1533-position model. The record is from RNAcentral.